AUGCAUUUCCAUUGUUUAAUAUUGUGGAUAAUUUUUAAUCAAUUUCUUUGUCUGAAGGUGAACACUCCCUAUCCUGGAAACCAAGAAGUCCUUAAUGACCAUGGUGCUAAAGUAAACAGAGAUUCCUGGGGACUGCACAGCUCAGCACACUUAAAAGGAGAAAAGGGAGACAGAGGUGCUCCAGGACCACCAGGUCCACCUCUGCCUCCAUCAUAUUUCAGCCAUUUUAUUAAUAGCAUAAAGGUAAUUAUAUCCCAUUUGUGUUUGAGUUCUAUUAAGCUUUUUUUAAGAAUUAAUUUUUAAAAAAUAAAUUAAGCUCAAAGCAAUGCA
This 330-nucleotide long non-coding RNA is filed under the name Cyanistes caeruleus (blue tit). RNAcentral's name for it is "lncRNA (ENSCCEG00000017641.1)". Lineage: Eukaryota; Metazoa; Chordata; Aves; Passeriformes; Paridae. The record is from RNAcentral.